GGACCUAUGGUUCAAAAGUUAGAGGGGGGGGGACACAUUUUUUUUUCUUUCGGAGCGAUUAUCUCCGAAUAUAUUCACUUUAUCAAAAAAUGUUUCUUGAAAACCCCUAUUAGUUUUGAAAGACCUUUCCAACGAUACCCCACACUUUAGGGUUGAAGCGAAAAAAAAAAUUCACCCCCACUUUACGUGUAGGGGAGGUACCCUAAAAAAAAUUAAAAUUUUAGAUUUUAUUGUACGACUUUGUCGGCUUUAUUGAUUUAUAUAUCCAUGCCAAAUUUCAGCUUUCUAACACUAACGACCACGGAGCAAAGCCUCGGACAGACAGACAGACAGACAGACAGACAGACAGACAGACAGACAGACAGACAGACGGACAUGGCGAAACUAUAAGGGUUCCGUUUUAUGCCAUUUGGCUACGGAACCCUAAAAAGGCAUAAGCAAGGGGGAAGUUUCGUUAGUUGUUCAGAUGAUUAAGUAUUAUGUAACCAAAAAAUAAUAAUUUCAGGUGACUCGGGGUAUGCUCUUGAGCCAUGGCUCAUGACGCCAGUGCUGAAUCCUGCCCCGGGAAGCCCAGAAGCAAGGUAGGUACACGGUCUGGCACUGUCGCGUGCGCAACACGAUCAAGCGUACCAAUGGGUACCUCAAAAACGUAUUCCGGUGCCUGGGCCACGACCGCGUCUUACACUACAGCCCGACGAAGGCAUCGUCAAUAAUAAAUGCAUGUUGCGUAGUAUACAACAUAAUGCAACAUUAUAGAUAUGUUCCCGAGGAAAUCGUAGGAGAUAUUGAUGAACACGCUCCUCAAGCACUUCCUCAUCGUCAUGCGCAAAACGGACUACUAUUAAGAGUGGCGCAGGAAAAGCGUGCGCGUCUAAUAAAUACAUAUUUUGCUUA
Long non-coding RNA from Cydia pomonella (codling moth), 894 nucleotides. RefSeq lists it as uncharacterized. The transcript is spliced from 2 exons. The record is from RefSeq and is a predicted model, not a curated record. NCBI's taxonomy places the organism in Eukaryota, Metazoa, Arthropoda, Insecta, Lepidoptera, Tortricidae.